AUUUGAGUAGCUCUUAGAGUGUUAUUUUGAAGCAAUAAAGGAAGGUUAAACCUCUCAAAUA
Molecule: transfer RNA, 61 nt
Filed under: Metacrangonyx panousei
Lineage: Eukaryota; Metazoa; Arthropoda; Malacostraca; Amphipoda; Metacrangonyctidae
Description: transfer RNA Phenylalanine
Source: RNAcentral